Molecule: long non-coding RNA, 1268 nt
Organism: Serinus canaria (Common canary)
Lineage: Eukaryota; Metazoa; Chordata; Aves; Passeriformes; Fringillidae
Exons: 3
Source: RefSeq, a predicted model, not a curated record
AGGGGCGGGAGCGCCCUGGCCCUUUCCCCCUGCGCGGGGCAGUGCGGCAGCGCGCGUGACGGCUGUACCCCCUCAGGGGCUCCUGCGGCCUUAGCCGGCCCCCCCGUCACAUCCCGCUGAACGGCAAGUAACGUAAUGCUCCUGAUCCCUUCGUUCUGGGCUCAUUCGCCGCUAGUGUUCAGAGCAGCCGUCCUCAAUGGUUGGUCGCUCUGCGUAGUGUUCAGAAGAGAUUAAGAAAAGGCAUUUGUUCCCUGGUGUGGAACCCCUUCAGAUUUUGUGCAAACCAACAAGCCUCUGACUUCCCUUCUGGCGACGUUCCAGGCAGCAGAGGCGCCUGCAUAAGCUAAGUGAUGACAGGGGCUUCACUGUUCACCACUACAAUAGAAAUGUAUCCUUUUCUUCCCUAACAGAGGAAGGCAUUGUCUGAGUGAGAAUGGGACCUCAUCAGAUGAUGUAACCUGUGAACAUAUAGUUGGAAUGAAAAAAUGCCAUCUCUUUAAAAAGGCUACAAAAAGCAAGCUUCAGGAAGUCAUAAUUUCUUUUUAUCCCUGAAGAGGCCUGCCUUCAUAUAGCUACAUACAGAUAUAUAGCCAACAUAUAACUGCAUCCUGUCCUUUGCCAGUCUGAGCAUGAGUGCAAAAGUUCUCGUUUCUACUGACUCCACAAAAAUGCAUUUUUAAAUAGACUGAGGAACUGAACACUUUGCAGCUUUGGGCUGUGAAUACCAACAUAUAUUACAUAACACUAUCCUCUUAACUGUUUGAUCCUCCUUGUAAUCAUCAGCUAUAGGUUUGCCACCAGGUUUUGUGGAAGGAUAUUUAGAAAGGUUCAUAAAGCUUUACUGGUAACUUAAUUAGAUGAAAAACUGUUUGGUCUUUCUGUAAGUUAAGGGUUUGUAUCUGCUUUUAAAAGGAUGGGUUUACAUGAGAAACAUAGUCACUAGUGUUGGCUUUCUGUAAAGCAUAUUUGAAAAAAGAGUAAGAUAAUGUCUAGGUACUCUUCAAUAGGUAAAGAGGGCUGAUCUGCUUAUUCAACAUUAAUCAGAAGUGCAGUAAAGAAAUUUUUCCAAAUGCUGGACAACAUUUCACUGUUUUGUUUUACUUUUGGUUUGAUUUGCUCUGUGCUUUUGUUUUGGUUGGUCAUUUUUUGAGGGAACUUUAUCUAGUGCUUUGAGUUUCUAAAUUGAAAGAUAUUUCUUUCAUUAAAGUUGAAAAUAUUUUCACGUUUUGCUUGAUUUCAUGUGCUGUUAAUAUUGCUAAUAAAAUACU